This 1292-nucleotide long non-coding RNA is filed under the name Homo sapiens (human). RNAcentral's name for it is "novel transcript". The record is from RNAcentral. Lineage: Eukaryota; Metazoa; Chordata; Mammalia; Primates; Hominidae.
AGGACCCACCCGAGGGUGGGUCACCAUGGCUUUGGAGCGCCUGGUAGUGUGGUGUGUCCACAGUGAAGACCAGAGUUUCAUUGUCCUUAAGACUGACCUGGGGAGAUGUGGCUGUAGGCCAUUGAGGAAGACGGCACCGAAAGCGAAGGAAGCUCCUGCUCCUCCUAAAGCCGAAGCCAAAGCGAAGGCCUUAAAGGCCAAGAAGGCAGUGUUGAAAGGUGUCCGCAGCCACACGCAAAAAAGAAGAUCCGCAUGUCACUCACCUUCAGGCGGCCCAAGACACUGCGACUCCGGAGGCAGCCCAGAUAUCCUCGGAAGAGCACCCCCAGGAGAAACAAGCUUGGCCACUAUGCUAUCAUCAAGUUUCCGCUGACCACUGAGUCGGCCGUGAAGAAGAUAGAAGAAAACAACACGCUUGUGUUCACUGUGGAUGUUAAAGCCAACAAGCACCAGAUCAGACAGGCUGUGAAGAAGCUCUAUGACAGUGAUGUGGCCAAGGUCACCACCCUGAUUUGUCCUGAUAAAGAGAAGGCAUAUGUUCGACUUGCUCCUGAUUAUGAUGCUUUCGAUGUUGUAACAAAAUUGGGAUCACCUAAACUGAGUCCAGCUGGCUAACUCUAAAUAUAUGUGUAUCUUUUCAGCAUAAAAAAAAUAAUGUUUUUCAUAAGAAUGACAACUUAAUUAGAAUCAAAUCUAUAAGCUUUAAGAUUUUACGUUUCUAGUAAGUAUAAUAUUAGCUUAUUUGACUAGAACUCAAGCAGAAUAGGAAUUUAUGCUUGUUUUAUAUUCAAUAAUGAUAAUUUUGAAGAUAUAGUUGUUUUAUUACACCAAAAAUACUAUAUUAAUCUUAUUUAACUAAGUUUUAUCCAAAUCAUGUUAACUUAAGAAACAUUUGAUCAGUUCCUAUAUUUCUAGGAGUUUGGUGAAUAUUUAUUUAUAAAUGCUUAUUUUUUUCCAAGCCAAGUUAGAAUAGAGCACUUUUAGAGGUUUUCAUAAAUGAAUUUUGCAAUGCUCUCUGGAGUUAAGAAAAUAUCACAUAUACAUAACAUACAUUAAUAGAUACACAAACACAAAUAGAGAUUUCAUAGCUUUCAUCCUGAAAUUUCAGCCAUGAAUCAGGCAUAAAUAUUCUGAUGGUUAAUUUCAGACAUCUACUUGAUCGGAUUGAGAGACACACAUAGCUGGUCAAACACGAUUUCAGCCAUGAAUCAGGCAUAAAUAUUCUGAUGGUUAAUUUUAGACAUCUACUUGACUGGAUUAAGAGACACACAUAGCUGGUCAAACGUGAUUUC